GAUAAACGCUGGCGGCGUGCUUAACACAUGCAAGUCGAACGGACUGAUGAGAGAGCUUGCUCUUUCUGAAAGUUAGUGGCGGACGGGUGAGUAACGCGUGGGAAACCUGCCUUACACUGGGGGAUAACAGAUGGAAACGCCUGUUAAUACCGCAUAAGCGCACGGUGCUGCAUGGCACCGUGUGAAAAACUCCGGUGGUGUAAGAUGGUCCCGCGUCUGAUUAGCUAGUUGGUGAGGUAACGGCCCACCAAGGCGACGAUCAGUAGCCGGCCUGAGAGGGCGUACGGCCACAUUGGGACUGAGACACGGCCCAAAACUCCUACGGGAGGCAGCAGUGGGGAAUAUUGCACAAUGGAGGAAACUCUGAUGCAGCGACGCCGCGUGAGUGAAGAAGUAUCUCGGUAUGUAAAAACUCUAAUCAGCAGGGAAGAUAAUGACGGUACCUGACUAAGAAGCACCGGCUAAAUACGUG
RNAcentral lists this ribosomal RNA (472 nucleotides) under uncultured bacterium. RNAcentral's name for it is "bacterial SSU rRNA". It matches the Rfam family "Bacterial small subunit ribosomal RNA", at positions 28 to 507 of the family's 1533-position model. The record is from RNAcentral.